AGCAAAGGGCUUGUGGCUAAACGCCUACUUUCCUCAAUGCAAGAAAGGGGAAUAUCACCAGAUUUUGUUUUAUGCAUCGGAGAUGACCGUUCAGAUGAAGAUAUGUUUGAGGUAAUUACCAGUUCCAUGGCAGGUCCAUCAAUUGCUCCAAGGGCAGAAGUAUUUGCAUGCACUGUUGGUCGAAAACCCAGCAAGGCUAAAUAUUAUCUUGAUGAUACCGCAGAAAUUGUUAGGCUGAUGCAAGGUUUGGCGUCGGUUUCAGAACAAACAGUUACCGUGUAAGCUGAGUGAAAGGCGUACUCUCUUGUUUUCUCUGUAAAUUUAAGCAUGUAGGUUGAUCUACAUAGUUUUUGCUAUCUUUUCCCGCUUUUCUUUCAUGUACAAAUCGUCAUAGUGUUACUUUAGAGAAGCUGUGGAAGCAGAAACACUUUUUUCCCCUCUUUCU
This 445-nucleotide unclassified non-coding RNA is filed under the name Hevea brasiliensis (rubber tree). Lineage: Eukaryota; Viridiplantae; Streptophyta; Magnoliopsida; Malpighiales; Euphorbiaceae. The record is from RNAcentral.